RNAcentral lists this ribosomal RNA (253 nucleotides) under uncultured bacterium. Its description in RNAcentral is "partial 16S ribosomal RNA". It matches the Rfam family "Bacterial small subunit ribosomal RNA", at positions 524 to 776 of the family's 1533-position model. The record is from RNAcentral.
GACGAACCACACAAACGUUAUUCGGAAUCACUGGGCUUAAAGGGCGCGUAGGCGGGCUGACAAGUCUGGGGUGAAAUGCCGCGGCUCAACCGUGGAACUGCCUUAGAUACUGUCGGCCUCGAGGAAGGUAGGGGCAUGCGGAACUGUAGGUGGAGCGGUGAAAUGCGUUGAUAUCUACAGGAACUCCGGUGGCGAAAGCGGCGUGCUGGACCUUUUCUGACGCUGAGGCGCGAAAGCUAGGGGAGCAAACGGG